AAUUUCAAUAUUUAUACAUGUAUUUAUAAUUUUUUUUUUAUAAAAAUAAUUUUUUAGUUUUAGUAAAUUUUAUUAAAUAAAUUUUUCAUAAAUAAACUGAAUAGGUUAAUUAAGUUUAUUUAUAUAUAAGUAAAAAAUAAGUUUUGUACCUUUUGUAUCAGGGUGAAUUAAUUUAAAAUACAAAUUUAUAUUUCCCGAAUUUUAAUAAUUUAAAAUAAUUUGUAAGUUUUUGUUGUAAAAAAAUUUAAUAAUUUAUUUUAGAAAUGAAAUUUUAUCGAAUUAUAUGAUAUCUGGUUUUUUAAUAAAUGAAUUCAAUUCAGAAUAAUUAAUAUAAUUUAUAUAUGAAUUAUAAAUUAUUAUUUUUAUUCAAUUAUAAUAAGGAUUAGCUAAUUAUAAAAUCUAUAUAAUAAUAUUAUAUUAAUUUAAUAAGCUUAAGAACAGCUAUAUUUUUGAUUAAGUUACAUUACAUUACAUUAUUUAUAUUUAUAUAUAUAAAUAUAUUAGAUUUUCAUUAAAAAAUUUAAUUUAAUAAUUAAUUAUAACUAAUAUGAUUUAAUUAGUAUAAUUAAUAAAAAAUUUUAUUUAUGAAUUAGGCAAUUUUAAUUUUCAACUGUUUAUCAAAAACAUCUCUUUUAGAAAAAAAUUAAAGGUAUAAUCUGCCCAAUGAUUAUUUAAUGGCCGCGGUAAAUUGACCGUGCAAAGGUAGCAUAAUAAUUAGUCUUUUAAUUGAAGGCUUGAAUGAAUGAUUGAAUGAGAAAUUAACUUUAUUAAUAAAAUAAUUUGAAUUUAAUUUGUAAGUUAAAAAGCUUAUAUAAUCAAGUUGGACAAGAAGACCCUAUAGAAUUUAAUAAUGUUAUUAUAAAUUUAAUUUAAGUAUUAAUAAUUUAAAUAAGUAAUUUCUUUUUUUUGUUGGGGUGACAUUAAAAAAUAAUUAACUUUUAAUAUAUAUAACAUAUAUAUAUGUAAUUAUUGAUCCAAUAUAUUAUUGAUUUAAAGAAUAAAUUACCUUAGGGAUAACAGCGUUAUUAUUUUUUAGAGUUCAUAUUAAUAAAAUAGUUUGCGACCUCGAUGUUGGAUUAAGAAUAUAAUUUGGAGCAAUAUCUAAAAUAUUAGGUCUGUUCGACCUUUUAAUUCUUACAUGAUCUGAGUUCAAACCGGCGUGAGCCAGGUUGGUUUCUAUCCACUUUAAUUAUAUUAAUAUUAGUACGAAAGGACCAUAUUAGUUAAUAUAUUUAU
This 1236-nucleotide ribosomal RNA is filed under the name Graptopsaltria nigrofuscata. RNAcentral describes it as "16S ribosomal RNA". The stretch from base 1013 to 1171 matches the Rfam family "Archaeal large subunit ribosomal RNA", at positions 2542 to 2701 of the family's 2987-position model. Lineage: Eukaryota; Metazoa; Arthropoda; Insecta; Hemiptera; Cicadidae. The record is from RNAcentral.